RNAcentral lists this unclassified non-coding RNA (2152 nucleotides) under Patiria miniata (bat star). RNAcentral describes it as "uncharacterized LOC119734692, transcript variant X1". Lineage: Eukaryota; Metazoa; Echinodermata; Asteroidea; Valvatida; Asterinidae. The record is from RNAcentral.
UUUGUUAUUGGGAGUUAAUAGUGCGUGCCACGAAAAUUCUGGAUUGGACUGGUACCCUGUAACCAUUAAUACAAAUAAGAUCCUACGUGCACAAGUACAACCCCGAAUAACUCGGCACACUAAUACAGUGACGAAAAUGUACACUACUGCGCAAUUUUGUGCAUGCGUGUUGAAGCGAAAUUUCCCUUUAGGAGAAGCUAGCACGCCGGAGAAGUGAGACCGUGACAACGGUACCUGUCGAUGAUGUUGCCGCGCCGGAUGCGAUGACGGCGAACUCCGAAACACGUGACGUGCACGGCGGGUCUGCACAUAUGGGUCUUCUGCACCUAUCAUUCACUUCCGCGCUCUAUGCCUAGGCCUGCAUGGUUUGGACUGAUAAUUGACGCGGCCAUUUUCAUCUCUAUUUUUGAGGGGCCGACGCGUGCUUGCGAUUUUUUUCCCGGUGCACCUAAUGAACGAAGGAAAGGCCUCAUUCGACUCAGUGAAUAAUAUAGUACAGCUCCAAAUCCAUUCACUACAGCUGCAAGCAAGCAAUUGGAUGCAGGGUUGAUAGCUCUCUUCACACUAAUUGGACUAUUCCUGACCUUGGUGGUUGCUAUAUUGGUGUUUCUGUUCGGCACCGCCGUGGUUGGUAAAUGCCGGAAACUGAUGCAACCUGAAGGUGAGGCACUGUCUUGGAAUUGUGAUCAAUUCUAUGGCAAUAAGAGCAAACGCAUACUGGGAAUCACACCUCUUUGGAGAUGGAGCAACCAAAUGCCGAGUCUCAUGGCGCUCAUAGCGAUCAGCCGGACGCGAGUGCUGGAGGGGGGUCGUCUGCUAACGAGCCAGGCCGUGGCGCUGGGAGAUCGGUACACAUUGAAAAACUUAACAUCACUGGGGAAGACUGCCCAUUCAUUGGCGAAAUUAAAAGCAGCAAGAUCAAGUUUAAGGGACAGCAAAGGAGUGCAAGACAAAAUGAAACCGACUCAACAGUAGGAGGUCAGGAACCCGACACGAUGGAACAGCCUAACCCACCUGGUGCGCCCGUUGGCGGCGGUAGACCUAUGGGAAGCAGUGGGGGCUUCAGUGGUGGGACGGAAUUCAGAAUUGAGAAUUUAAAUGUUGGAGGGUCUGGCAAUCCUGUUAUUGGUGUGGUAGAACAUUCUGACAUUACAUUUUAAAAUAGCUUUUACUUAAACGGUCCCACAAAACACGACAGUCGCAGUCAAAAAUCUGCAAUGCCUCAUUAUUACAUUAUUAAAGUAUAACAUUAUUUGGAAUUUCAAGUUGGUUACACCAAUCCAUUCAGAAGCAAUUAUUGCAAAAUCUCGAAUGAGUUGCACUGAAAACUUUUUGUUUCAUUUCUGAGUUUUGGUUCGUAUGAAAUUAUGAAAAACAACAAGGCUUAACAUUCCAAUUAUCGUUUGCCUUUCUCGAUGCAAUUGUCGUUUAAUCAACUAGAAAAAAAUAGAGCGCCGUUAAUUGAAUGCUUGAUUUGGCAUUGAUGUAUACUAUGUCUAGUGCACCUUGACACUCACAUAAGAAGGCAGGCCUAGCCUAAGCAUAUAGACACAGAAUUUAGGAUUUCUUGGGACCAAUCAAACUAAACACAUUGUAGUAACAAGUCCAUAAACUAAUGCGAAGAUUCACUUCAUUGGGCCCAUAUUAAAUUUUUGUGAGUAUUCAUUUAAUAAACUUGGAAUAGCCAAAUGUAUUUUUUCUGAAAUAUUACCAAUUUGAUGACACUAGCUGUGUUUAUUUUCUUACAUUUAUGCAGAAGAAUGAGCAGAAAGAUAACCGACAUAUUAAAAAAAAAACCAAUCUAGUGAAAUCAAAAAUGCUGCAUACAAUUUGGGGAUAUGCAUUUCACCACUAGGUCUAUAAUGAUCCCUGCAUGCUUCUUAAAAAAGCUAGCUUUUAGAUUUUCUUCGCAUUUCAUAAAAAAAGUACCGCACUUAUAAUUAUCAAAAUUGAAAGAAGUCUAUUUUGAUAUAUAUCGGUUUAUUUUUUCAAUCAAAUGUGACCUCUUCAAAUUUUUAACACUUGCUUUUUAAAAUCAGAUACUGGCUAAUGUGCAAAGAUCUGGUGUUUUUAGAGUACUGCACAAAAAGCUGUUUACGCAUGGAAUGAAUGUACUAGAAUUUGCAAUAAAAAAAUCGUUUGUCUUACAGUU